AGCGUAGACGGCUGUGUAAGUCUGAAGUGAAAGCCCGGGGCUCAACCCCGGGACUGCUUUGGAAACUAUGCAGCUAGAGUGUCGGAGAGGUAAGUGGAAUUCCCAGUGUAGCGGUGAAAUGCGUAGAUAUUGGGAGAAACACCAGUGGCGAAGGCGGCUUACUGGACGAUGACUGACGCUGAGGCUCGAAAGCGUGGGGAGCAAACA
Molecule: ribosomal RNA, 207 nt
Filed under: uncultured bacterium
Lineage: Bacteria
Description: partial 16S ribosomal RNA
Rfam family: Bacterial small subunit ribosomal RNA
Source: RNAcentral